GACGAACGCUGGCGGCGUGCCUAAUACAUGCAAGUAGAACGUACAGUUUAUACCGUAGCUUGCUACACCAUAAACUGUGAGUUGCGAACGGGUGAGUAACGCGUAGGUAACCUGCCUGGUAGCGGGGGAUAACUAUUGGAAACGAUAGCUAAUACCGCAUAAUAUUGAUUAUUGCAUGAUAAUUGAUUGAAAGAUGCUAUUGCAUCACUACCAGAUGGACCUGCGUUGUAUUAGCUAGUAGGUGAGGUAACGGCUCACCUAGGCGACGAUACAUAGCCGACCUGAGAGGGUGAUCGGCCACACUGGGACUGAGACACGGCCCAGACUCCUACGGGAGGCAGCAGUAGGGAAUCUUCGGCAAGGGACGAAAGUCUGACCGAGCAACGCCGCGUGAGUGAAGAAGGUUGUCGGAUCGUAAAGCUCUGUUGUAAGAGAAGAACGGGUGUGAGAGUGGAAAGUUCACACUGUGACGGUAUCUUACCAGAAAGGGACGGCUAACUACGUG
This 505-nucleotide ribosomal RNA is filed under the name uncultured bacterium. RNAcentral describes it as "partial 16S ribosomal RNA". It matches the Rfam family "Bacterial small subunit ribosomal RNA", at positions 28 to 507 of the family's 1533-position model. The record is from RNAcentral.